Molecule: long non-coding RNA, 469 nt
Filed under: Homo sapiens (human)
Lineage: Eukaryota; Metazoa; Chordata; Mammalia; Primates; Hominidae
Description: HSALNT0345530
Source: RNAcentral
CCUCCCAAAGUGCUGGGAUUACAGGCAUGAGCCACCACGCCCGGCCUCUGCUUUCUUUCUCUGUGAUUUGACUAUUCCAGAUCCCUCAUCUGGGAGUUAAAAAAAAUUCUGCCGUAGCCUACCGCCUCAUGACUUUGAGUCUGUCUGUAUUACACCAAGACAACAUAGAAGUUAUGAGCCUUGUGAAGGAGGUGCCUGCUUCGCCUUCCUCCAUGAUUGUAAAUUUCCUGAGGCCUCAUCAGCCAUGUGGAACUACUACAGAAUCCUGGCGAGGAACCUAUUCCUAUAUUUACCUCCAUCUCUCUGGUACCUGGCCUAAGUCUACACAGUAGAUUUAUCCUGAAAUCUGCUCCAGGAGUUCUGUACAUCUCAUGUUGCAGGGCUGCGGUGCUGUGAAGAUUUCGGCAUCCUGCACUCAUGGCCAUGUUUAGUCUAUGGUCACAUUGACACUAGAGAGUUUCAGGGACCA